Molecule: long non-coding RNA, 425 nt
Filed under: Hordeum vulgare
Lineage: Eukaryota; Viridiplantae; Streptophyta; Magnoliopsida; Poales; Poaceae
Description: long non-coding RNA (HVUL_LNC014903)
Source: RNAcentral
AACCUAAGAUUAUCUUUCUUCGCUCUGAUGCAAACUGCGGCCAUGACUACCACUCCACAGGUAUACGUUCGGCUUGUCAACCACGUUCCUUAUCCUCCUGCUGCUCCUCGACAGAUCCACCAUGUUGAGUCCAUGGCGGCGUCCGCAUCGGCCACAGCAAUGACCACGGCUGCCUCCGCCGUCCCAUGGCCAAACACAUGUAAAUGCAGAACCUCAGACGAUUGGUUACCACUCUAUUUUGCGCAUGUAUUGCAUUCUUUGAUGAUCUGUUUCUUUUCGUCUUGGCUCAGUACAGCGCAGUAUUGGCGAUGUAAGUUUUGGCUUUCAAGCUCUGAGCUUGCUAUAUAGUGUGUUACUGAGACUGCUAGACUUUGCAUAGUUUGUAAUCUGUAGCUAACUGACGCGCGGUGAGUUGUGGAAUCUCU